AAUGGCAUCAUUAAAGCUGGAAUAUGAGUCAUAGGAAAGGAUGGAGAGGUUGGGGAACCUGGUGUUUUUGAAACUAUGCUCCCUAGAUCUCCAAAGAGCCUAUGAGAAGACAUGUCGGGGCCACUGCCUGUGUCAUGUAUAAAGGGAUGUGGUCGUUCAUCCCGAGUUUUACAUGUUUGGAUUCUGAAUAUGAUAUAUUUCUGUAACAGGGCUUAUACUUAAAAAUCUUUUUAUUUGGCAGCUCAGAGGAGGGAUGUAACUUCUCAGAGAUUUGUAGCCAGCUUGUGACACAGCAUGGAGAGAGAAGCUGCUGCUGCUGCUGCUUCCAUGGAAAUGCAGAACCUUGAAGUAUCACAGUCCUUCCUGGGUCUCUGUAUGAUCCAGAGGUAACGAGCAACAUUUCUUACAUGCCAGGUUAGUUACCAGGAUGUACUCGGAAGAUGCACCUUGCAAUUAUCCAGGAGGAAGAUGGAACUUAUGAGGCGCUUCCCUGACAUGUAUCACCAUGGAGCCACUGGGAGGGAGACACCGUGGGGCUGCUUUUCCACAGAAAUGUCACCACAGCAAUGGCAGACCCAGGAGAUCUUGGAACUGGUAGAUGAUAGCAUCACGUGCUCAGGAGAGACCAAUCGUUUCUCUCCAACCACACUGAGAAUGAGUGAUGUCUUUGUGAUCAUAAAAUUGAAGAGAAAUUAAACUCCUCUGAGAAAGGU
Molecule: long non-coding RNA, 713 nt
Organism: Grammomys surdaster
Lineage: Eukaryota; Metazoa; Chordata; Mammalia; Rodentia; Muridae
Exons: 2
Source: RefSeq, a predicted model, not a curated record